RNAcentral lists this ribosomal RNA (467 nucleotides) under uncultured bacterium. RNAcentral describes it as "partial 16S ribosomal RNA". It matches the Rfam family "Bacterial small subunit ribosomal RNA", at positions 29 to 507 of the family's 1533-position model. The record is from RNAcentral.
ACGAACGCUGGCGGCGUGCUUCACACAUGCAAGUCGAACGGAAAGGCCCUGCUUUUGUGGGGUGCUCGCGUGGCGAACGGGUGAGUAACACGUGAGUAACCUGCCCUUGACUUUGGGAUAACUUCAGGAAACUGGGGCUAAUACCGGAUAGGAGCUCCUGCUGCAUGGUGGGGGUUGGAAAGUUUCGGCGGUUGGGGAUGGACUCGCGGCUUAUCAGCUUGUUGGUGGGGUAGUGGCUUACCAAGGCUUUGACGGGUAGCCGGCCUGAGAGGGUGACCGGCCACAUUGGGACUGAGAUACGGCCCAGACUCCUACGGGAGGCAGCAGUGGGGAAUAUUGCACAAUGGGCGGAGGCCUGAUGCAGCAACGCCGCGUGCGGGAUGAAGGCCUUCGGGUUGUAAACCGCUUUCGCCUGUGACGAAGCGUGAGUGACGGUAAUGGGUAAAGAAGCACCGGCUAACUACGUG